CCUACGGGGGGCAGCAGUGAGGAAUAUUGGUCAAUGGACGAGAGUCUGAACCAGCCAAGUAGCGUGAAGGAUGACUGCCCUAUGGGUUGUAAACUUCUUUUAUAUGGGAAUAAAAUGUUCCACGUGUGGGAUUUUGUAUGUACCAUAUGAAUAAGGAUAGGCUAACUCCGUUCCAGCAGCCGCGGUAAUACGGAGGAUCCGAGCGUUAUCCGGAUUUAUUGGGUUUAAAGGGAGCGUAGGUGGAUUGUUAAGUCAGUUGUGAAAGUUUGCGGCUCAACCGUAAAAUUGCAGUUGAAACUGGCAGUCUAGAGUACAGUAGAGGUGGGUGGAAUUCGAGGUGUAGCGGUGAAAUGCUUAGAUAUCACGAAGAACUCCGAUUGCGAAGGCAGCUCACUGGACUGCAACUGACACUGAGGCUCGAAAGUGUGGGUAUCAAACAGGAUUAGAUACCCUAGUAGUC
RNAcentral lists this ribosomal RNA (460 nucleotides) under uncultured bacterium. Its description in RNAcentral is "partial 16S ribosomal RNA". It matches the Rfam family "Bacterial small subunit ribosomal RNA", at positions 338 to 795 of the family's 1533-position model. The record is from RNAcentral.